GAUGAACGCUGGCGGCGUGCCUAAUACAUGCAAGUCGAGCGGACGGACGAGAAGCUUGUGUCUUUGAUGUUAGCGGCGGACGGGUGUGUAACAUGUGGAUCACCUACUUAUCAGACUGGGAUAAUUUCGGGACACCGGAGCUAAUACCGGAUGAUAUUUUGCACCGCAGGGUUCAAAAGUGAAAUACGGUCUUGGUGGCUGUUCUAGCUGGAUCCGAGCUGCAUUAGCUAGUUGGUAAGGUAACGGCUUACCAAGGCAAGGAGGCGUAGCCGACCGGAGGGGCGGAUCGCCCGCCCUGGAACUUAGACGCGGUCCAGGCUCCUACGGUAGGCCGCAGUAUGCAACCUGCCGCAAUGGGCGAAAGCCUGACGGAGCAACGCCGCGUGAGUUAUGAAGGUCUUCGGAUCGUAAUGCCCUCUUUUUAGGUAAGAACAUAUGUGUAAGUAGCUGUACACAUCGUGACGGUACCUAAUCAGAAAGCCCCGGCUAACUACGUG
This 497-nucleotide ribosomal RNA is filed under the name uncultured bacterium. Its description in RNAcentral is "partial 16S ribosomal RNA". It matches the Rfam family "Bacterial small subunit ribosomal RNA", at positions 28 to 507 of the family's 1533-position model. The record is from RNAcentral.